This 438-nucleotide ribosomal RNA is filed under the name uncultured bacterium. Its description in RNAcentral is "bacterial SSU rRNA". It matches the Rfam family "Bacterial small subunit ribosomal RNA", at positions 954 to 1392 of the family's 1533-position model. The record is from RNAcentral.
GCAGAACGCGAAGAACCUUACCUACUCUUGACAUCCAGAGAACUUAGCAGAGAUGCUUUGGUGCCUUCGGGAACUCUGAGACAGGUGCUGCAUGGCUGUCGUCAGCUCGUGUUGUGAAAUGUUGGGUUAAGUCCCGCAACGAGCGCAACCCUUAUCCUUUGUUGCCAGCGGUUAGGCCGGGAACUCAAAGGAGACUGCCAGUGAUAAACUGGAGGAAGGUGGGGAUGACGUCAAGUCAUCAUGGCCCUUACGAGUAGGGCUACACACGUGCCACAAUGGCGCAUACAAAGAGAAGCGACCUCGCGAGAGCAAGCGGACCUCAUAAAGUGCGUCGUAGUCCGGAUUGGAGUCUGCAACUCGACUCCAUGAAGUCGGAAUCGCUAGUAAUCGUAGAUCAGAAUGCUACGGUGAAUACGUUCCCGGGUCUUGUACACACCG